This is a long non-coding RNA of Leopardus geoffroyi (Geoffroy's cat), 723 nucleotides long. RefSeq lists it as uncharacterized. Lineage: Eukaryota; Metazoa; Chordata; Mammalia; Carnivora; Felidae. The record is from RefSeq and is a predicted model, not a curated record. The transcript has 4 exons.
UACGUGGGCUACCGGAUACGGACAAGCCUAGACACUGGGUGCGCGCGUUAGGGCUGCGCGGGGCGGGGCGGAUGGCGGCGUAGCCGGGGCGGGGAGUGCUCCUGCGUUUCCUCCUUCAACCUCCCUAGUCUUCCCUUGUCCCGCCUGGCCGUCCUCCUGCGUUGCGUACCCCCUACCGAGCUCCCAGCCAGAGAUGAACCCUCGGCCGGGCGCUGAUCUCCACCGCCAGACCCCUUCUGGAGCGGCUGGGGGGCUGGGGGGCUGGGGGGGGGGCGGGGCUUGGGCUGACAGGAGAAGGUGCCGCACUGGGAACUGAGGAAAUCUGCUCCUGACACACAGAAUUUUGAAGAUCCUACCUUUGGAUCACAAAGACCCGAGCCCUCCCUUUGUAGAUCUGGCCCCGUCCCAUCUCUGAAUGCCCUUGGUCUUCUCUGCCCUCAGUGUGAAACCAAGAAAAAGCCCAAUGGAUUAUUCUAAAAGCUGUGGUGCUCAGAAUCUAAUGGGCUGCAAAGAGCCCUUGAUCCUAACGUGACUAUAAUACUGAUUUCUGCCCAUGAAUGAGAACUGGAGGUCCAGCCUUUUUCCCUGCCAUGAAUGAGCAAGUAAAACAAGAGCUUGGACCUUUCUGGAAAAAGAAGGGUGGUAUCAGGCACCCAUAUCCGCACCUUCUUUCUGUCUCUUGACUCCUAUGUAUUUAAUUAAAUCUUUGGUGUUUUAAACACA